UGGGGAAUAUUGCACAAUGGAGGGAACUCUGAUGCAGCGACGCCGCGUGAACGAAGAAGGCUUUCGAGUCGUAAAGUUCUUUUAUAUGGGAAGAUAAUGACGGUACCAUAAGAAAAAGCCCCGGCUAACUUCGUGCCAGCAGCCGCGGUAAUACGAAGGGGGCUAGCGUUGUUCGGAUUUACUGGGCGUAAAGCGCACGUAGGCGGACUAUUAAGUCAGGGGUGAAAUCCCGGGGCUCAACCCCGGAACUGCCUUUGAUACUGGUAGUCUUGAGUUCGAGAGAGGUGAGUGGAAUUCCGAGUGUAGAGGUGAAAUUCGUAGAUAUUCGGAGGAACACCAGUGGCGAAGGCGGCUCACUGGCUCGAUACUGACGCUGAGGUGCGAAAGCGUGGGGAGCAAACAGG
RNAcentral lists this ribosomal RNA (404 nucleotides) under Verrucomicrobiota bacterium. RNAcentral's name for it is "Verrucomicrobia bacterium partial 16S ribosomal RNA". It matches the Rfam family "Bacterial small subunit ribosomal RNA", at positions 355 to 776 of the family's 1533-position model. Lineage: Bacteria; Pseudomonadati; Verrucomicrobiota. The record is from RNAcentral.